UAACAGUCUAAAGCAGCCGGGUGUGGUGGCCUGCACCAGUUGUCUCAGUUACUCGGGAGGCUGAGGCAGGAGGAUUGCUUGAGCCCAGGAGUUCAAGGCUGCAGUGAGCUAUGAUCACACCACUGCCCUCCAGCCUGGAAAACACAGCAAGGUCCUGUCUCUUAAAAACAAAAAGUCUAAAGUUCACCAGUUUCUCUCUCUUCCUUUCAAACAACAAAAGGACUAACAUUUCAACUAUCAACGUGCCUCUCCAGUUUUACAAGUUAUUGCUGCCCAGUAUUUCAGUUCUAAGGAUACAAUGUGUUUUUGGUAUUAUACACUGUGGGAUGAAUAUAUCAAGGGAUUCUCCAUCUGUAGAAUGAGAAUAAUAACUACUUGGAGUUGUGAAGAUAAAAUGAGCUACUGAUGUAUGUAAAUUUUAUCACUGUCUGGGUAAAUAUUCAACAAAUGGUGAAUAUUAUUUCUGCAUUUUGAAUCUUUUCAUUA
RNAcentral lists this long non-coding RNA (486 nucleotides) under Homo sapiens (human). RNAcentral's name for it is "HSALNT0364012". The record is from RNAcentral. Lineage: Eukaryota; Metazoa; Chordata; Mammalia; Primates; Hominidae.